UGAUAGCUAGUUUAUGUAAAACAAAUGAUUUCGACUCAUUAGAUUAUGAUUUCCCCAUAGCUAUUAA
This 67-nucleotide transfer RNA is filed under the name Smutsia temminckii (ground pangolin). RNAcentral's name for it is "Manis temminckii (ground pangolin) tRNA-Arg". Lineage: Eukaryota; Metazoa; Chordata; Mammalia; Pholidota; Manidae. The record is from RNAcentral.